GGCACGACUCUACAGUCUACAUACUACGGGUCUCCAUCCUGAUUCCUCCACUCUUCAUACUCCAAUUUGAUCUUAGUUGCAAGUAUUGGUUUAGAGUUUCCUGAUUUGCAAUGUACAGACCUACAGCCUUCGGGAUCGGGACGGCGACCUGGAGCCGUCCAGCCUGCGAGAUCAGGACGGCGAUCUCGAGCAGUCCGCAUGUCUUAAGAUUUGGCAGGUUUGUUCAUGUACCCAACUGGAGCUCUUCUUCACAUGAGUUGAGAUCAGAAACGUGAAACAACAUCAAACACUGAUGAUUUCAAAUCUAUUUUAUCACUAUUGUACGG
Molecule: long non-coding RNA, 326 nt
Filed under: Sorghum bicolor (sorghum)
Lineage: Eukaryota; Viridiplantae; Streptophyta; Magnoliopsida; Poales; Poaceae
Description: long non-coding RNA (SBIC_LNC001125)
Source: RNAcentral